This 279-nucleotide ribosomal RNA is filed under the name uncultured bacterium. RNAcentral describes it as "partial 16S ribosomal RNA". It matches the Rfam family "Bacterial small subunit ribosomal RNA", at positions 506 to 784 of the family's 1533-position model. The record is from RNAcentral.
UGCCAGCCGCCGCGGUAAUACGGAGGGUGCGAACGUUAAUCGGAAUUACUGGGCGUAAAGCGCGCGUAGGUGGUUUGAUAAGUGGGAUGUGAAAGCCCCGGGCUCAACCUGGGAACUGCAUUCCAAACUGUCAAGCUAGAGUAUGGUAGAGGGAGGUAGAAUUUCCUGUGUAGCGGUGAAAUGCGUAGAUAUAGGAAGGAAUACCGGUGGCGAAGGCGGCCUCCUGGCUCGAUACUGACGCUGAGGUGCGAAAGCGUGGGUAGCGAACAGGAUUAGAUA